Molecule: ribosomal RNA, 254 nt
Filed under: uncultured bacterium
Lineage: Bacteria
Description: partial 16S ribosomal RNA
Rfam family: Bacterial small subunit ribosomal RNA
Source: RNAcentral
UACGUAGGGACCAAGCGUUGUUCGGAUUUACUGGGCGUAAAGGGCGCGUAGGCGGCGUGACAAGUCACUUGUGCAAUCUCCGGGCUUAACCCGGAACGGCCAAGUGAUACUGUCGCGCUAGAGUGCAGAAGGGGCAAUCGGAAUUCUUGGUGUAGCGGUGAAAUGCGUAGAUAUGAAGAGGAACACCUGAGGUGGAGACGGGUUGCUGGGCUGACACUGACGCUGACAGCGCGAAAGCUAGGGGGGCAAACGGG